Molecule: long non-coding RNA, 1403 nt
Organism: Pseudopipra pipra
Lineage: Eukaryota; Metazoa; Chordata; Aves; Passeriformes; Pipridae
Exons: 2
Source: RefSeq, a predicted model, not a curated record
UGCCCAGGCUGUAAUUUUAAUUUCCCUUGGAUGCUUGGCAAAGCCCUUCUGGGGGAGCCCUAGUGCCUGGCAUGAGCGGAGCGGGCUUCCAGGGAGGUAUUCACCUGGUCAGCGUCAGGAACCAUCCUCCCUGAAGCCUCGGCUCCCUCUUUCCCUUCGGUUGCCGUGGAUGUGCCGGACACCUCUGGCAGGACUAACCCUGUGGCUUUUAUGUCCAACGUGCUGUGUGCCUGCAGGUAAGAAAAGCUGGGAGUGCAGUCCCUCUGCUUUGCUUGCUGUGUCUCUUGGGUAGUGAUUUUGGAGGGGAAUCCCAGAGCGAUUUGGUUUGAAGGGGACCUUCAAAGGCCACCCUGUCUUCCGUGGGCAGGGACACCUUCCCCUCUCAUCCCCGGUUGCUCCAAGUCCCGUCCAGCCUGGCCUGGAACACUUGCAGGGAUCCAGGGGCAGCCUCAGCUUCCCUGUGCAGUGUGCUCUAAUAUCUCUCCACUGGCAUCCUGAAAAAUGUUGUCAGCGUGUUUUGUUGGACGACGGUAAGCGGGACCUGGGUGAAAAGGACAUUCUCUGAGGUGCUGGGAGAAGGAGGGCUCGUGCGGGCACCUCCAGAGACAGUGGGAACGGGAGCGUGCUGCAGAGAAGGAAAAUUCCAGGGGGUGGGUGCCAAGGAAUUUGUCCUUCCCUUGCUCUGUGCUCUGCACUUAGCAAUGGGUCAAGUGCAGAAGUUUCCUGGGGACCCUGGAAAAUGAUGCCGGGUCUGCUAAGAAAAGUGGGGCCAAAGGAGCAGGACCUGGGUCUGCGAGCGUGGGAGAAACAAGGGCCGGGUCAUCCUCUGCCUCCAGGAGGGAGGGCAGCAGGAAAGGCCACGGACUAAAGCACUGAAGUGCCGUUCCCCAGGGAGCCCCUGCCCAGCACUGAACUUGCUUGUGCACUUGCUGUCCCUUUCCCAGCGGAGCCGAAGCGUCGGGUGCGGGUGCCGGGGGGAUGGAGCUGCCAAGGACAAACUGGGAGGGUGUUUGCGAAGGAAGGGGGUAGAAGGAGCUCUUGACGUGCUUUUUUUACUUCUUCAUCCCACAGAAUUGCCACGAGAGGAAAUACUUCAGAGGGGCUUCCCUCCAGAUAAGCCCUGAAUGUGCCAGGAGGUUUCAGCCGGGAGAAAGGAGCUGUGGAAGAAAAGCAGCCUAAAAAUAGCCAGCGGGGAUCAUCAGGUUUUCCAGCCAAGAAAAACCAGGAGGGAGAUGAGGGAAUCGGGUUCCAAUUCCUAAAGAUUUGGUGGGUGUAGGAAUGAUUUCUGUGUGUUUUCCAGUCCCUUUUGAUUCCUGGGAUGAUUUUAAAAUGAUGGCUAAAUUGGAGAUGUUGUUUUUGAGAGGAAAUGAUGCCAAAUAAAUGCAAAGUUUGGGGUCAGUUUU